RNAcentral lists this long non-coding RNA (778 nucleotides) under Nicotiana benthamiana. Its description in RNAcentral is "long non-coding RNA (NBEN_LNC025017)". The record is from RNAcentral. Lineage: Eukaryota; Viridiplantae; Streptophyta; Magnoliopsida; Solanales; Solanaceae.
AGACUUCUAUUGAACAAACUUCACAAAUAGUAUUUUUUAUAUAAUAUUCUAUUCAAUUCAAGAGGGUAUCUUUUUUUUUUGGUCGAAAAUGAAAAUUUGUAUUCAACCUUUGUUAAUGUACAUCAAUUGUUCUUAGUGACUAUAGAACAAUUCUCAUAUUUGAACCCCUAGUUACGCCACAUUCUACUAGUGUACAAUCAUAUCCUCACACACAACGGGUAUUGGGAUUAAACUCAAGGAUUACAUCGGGGGUAACAAUUGAGGCUUCGCAAGGUUGGUUGCCAUUUUGAUUUCUUCAGUCCAGUGAUAUGCACUUGAAUAGCUAUUUGCCUUGCUCUACUAGUAGCUUCUUGUCUCGACUGUCGAAAUCGUCUAUCAUUCCUUUCCAUUCAUAUGUUGUACACAAUCGCAGCGAACACUAUUGCUAAUAUGGAUUUUCUUGGGUGCGUGUUGUUUACUCUGGGUGAAAGCCAUUGUACCUCAAGCUCCCAGCUUUGUUUCAGUCUAUUGAAGUUCAACCAUUUCAGUAGUCCCUGCCACAGUCUCUGGGAGUAAGCACAUUCAAAGAACAAGUGUUCAUGUGUCUCUGUUGCAUCUGUCUCACAUAGCGAGCAUGCCUGUUCAAUGUGGGUGCCCCAUUUCACUACUCUGCUAGCUGUGCCCAGUCGUUUAUGCAACGCCAUCCAUAGUAUAAAUUUAUGUUUUGGUAGCAAGCCUAGAAUCAGUAGUAGUUUCUUCCAUUGAACUUUAUGGUAUUGUGGAGUAAUAUGGAUAUAUG